Molecule: long non-coding RNA, 267 nt
Filed under: Lathyrus oleraceus (garden pea)
Lineage: Eukaryota; Viridiplantae; Streptophyta; Magnoliopsida; Fabales; Fabaceae
Description: Pisum sativum (pea) long non-coding RNA (PSAT_LNC000644)
Source: RNAcentral
UUUUCUUACUAGUGUUACUAUUUUUCACAUUAUUAUUUUUUGUCUCACUAUUAUUAUUAUUAGAUAUAUUAUUAUUAUUAUUAUUAUUAUUAUUAUUAUUUUGAUUCCAAUCAAGAUCCAGGUCAACUCGAUCAAAGCCCCACGCAAAAAAAUAGAGAAAGUGUGAAUAGUAGAAUUGCAAAUGGAUCAAACAAACCGAAACAAUUUUUUUUCUAUUAUUUAUUUUCAGUUACAAUUGAACAUUACAAAUCAAAUAAACCUAAAUCU